AAGCUCGUAGUUGAAUUUCGGGGUUAGUAGGUUGGUCAUGCCUCUGGUAUGUACUGGUCUCACUGAUUCCUCCUUCCUUAUGAACCGUAAUGCCAUUAAUUUGGUGUUGCGGGGAAUUUGGACUGUUACUUUGAAAAAAUUAGAGUGUUUAAAGCAAGCUAACGCUUGAAUACAUUAGCAUGGAAUAAUGAAAUAGGACGUUCGAUCUUAUUUUGUUUGGUUUCCUAGGAUUGACGUAAUGAUUAAUAGGGAUAGUUGGG
Molecule: ribosomal RNA, 260 nt
Filed under: uncultured Glomus
Lineage: Eukaryota; Fungi; Glomeromycota; Glomeromycetes; Glomerales; Glomeraceae
Description: partial 18S ribosomal RNA
Rfam family: Eukaryotic small subunit ribosomal RNA
Source: RNAcentral